Molecule: ribosomal RNA, 440 nt
Filed under: uncultured bacterium
Lineage: Bacteria
Description: partial 16S ribosomal RNA
Rfam family: Bacterial small subunit ribosomal RNA
Source: RNAcentral
CCUACGGGAGGCAGCAGUGGGGAAUAUUGCACAAUGGGGGAAACCCUGAUGCAGCGACGCCGCGUGAAGGAAGAAGUAUUUCGGUAUGUAAACUUCUAUCAGCAGGGAAGAAAAUGACGGUACCUGACUAAGAAGCCCCGGCUAACUACGUGCCAGCAGCCGAGGUAAUACGUAGGGGGCAAGCGUUAUCCGGAUGUACUGGGUGUAAAGGGAGCGUAGGCGGUUUAGCAAGUCAGAAGUGAAAGCCCGGGGCUCAACUCCGGGACUGCUUUUGAAACUGUUGAACUAGAGUGCAGGAGAGGUAAGUGGAAUUCCUAGUGUAGCGGUGAAAUGCGUAGAUAUUAGGAGGAACACCAGUGGCGAAGGCGGCUUACUGGACUGUAAAUGACGCUGAGGCUCGAAAGCGUGGGGAGCAAACAGGAUUAGAUACCCCUGUAGUC